CUCUCUCUUCCAGAUCUGAAACCCAGAGACCCCCCAGAAGCCCUUGGUUCAGCUACAAGGACGAUCGCGGAUAUAUAGCCACAAAGGUGACUGUAGAUGACAAAUAUGCUCCGGAGAACCCUUGCUACUUCUGCGAGCAGUGCUAUUAGCUUCUUCACUAAAAGGGUGAUGGUUCUCUGCAUUAUCAGGACUUUGAAGUGUGAUUAUCAGCAUGAUCAACCGCGUUGAUGCAUUGAUGUCUUUGUAGAAUGCCACCAAAGUAACUCCCUCUUCAUGUCUUUUAUAUUACUUCUCCUUUUAUUCCUUGAUUUGGCUCUCUGCACGUCACAGCAAUGUGAAUACGAAAAUUGGCCAUCAUUACGCUCAUGAAUGUGCUGUGCAAUUCUGUAGAAAUGGAAUAUCUGCAUAGUACAGUUCAAUAUAUGCAGAGAAAAGCAUGAUUGUAUAUAUUGCAUAUGUAUCUGAAGGUUGCACUCAUUUGAAUUUGAAAUUAGCUGAACCAAGUCCAUUUUUUAAUUGAAUACUUUGACUACAAGCCUGUUCUCCUUCAAUGACUAGGGAUUUGAUUAUUCUUACAUGAGAUCCACACAAAAGGGAAAGUGCAGCAAAACUGCGUUUGAAACACAACCAGACUGA
RNAcentral lists this long non-coding RNA (636 nucleotides) under Rosa chinensis. Its description in RNAcentral is "sRNA RchiOBHm_Chr5g0045941". The record is from RNAcentral. Lineage: Eukaryota; Viridiplantae; Streptophyta; Magnoliopsida; Rosales; Rosaceae.